This 484-nucleotide ribosomal RNA is filed under the name uncultured bacterium. Its description in RNAcentral is "partial 16S ribosomal RNA". It matches the Rfam family "Bacterial small subunit ribosomal RNA", at positions 30 to 507 of the family's 1533-position model. The record is from RNAcentral.
AGUGAACGCUGGCGGCAGGCCUAACACAUGCAAGUCGAGCGGCAGCGGGUCCUUCGGGAUGCCGGCGAGCGGCGGACGGGUGAGGAAUGCAUCGGAAUCUGCCCUGUCGUGGGGGAUAACCUAGGGAAACUUAGGCUAAUACCGCAUACGACCCACGGGUGAAAGCGGGGGAUCGCAAGACCUCGCGCGAUAGGAUGAGCCGAUGUCCGAUUAGCUAGUUGGCGGGGUAAAGGCCCACCAAGGCGACGAUCGGUAGCUGGUCUGAGAGGAUGAUCAGCCACACUGGGACUGAGACACGGCCCAGACUCCUACGGGAGGCAGCAGUGGGGAAUAUUGGACAAUGGGCGCAAGCCUGAUCCAGCCAUGCCGCGUGUGUGAAGGAGGCCUUCGGGUUGUAAAGCCCUUUUGUCCGGGAAGAAAUCGUCUGGGCUAAUACCCCGGGCGGAUGACGGUACCGGAAGAAUAAGCACCGGCUAACUUCGUG